Molecule: transfer RNA, 84 nt
Filed under: Candidatus Magasanikbacteria bacterium RIFCSPHIGHO2_02_FULL_51_14
Lineage: Bacteria; Candidatus Magasanikiibacteriota
Description: tRNA-Leu
Rfam family: tRNA
About the family: Transfer RNA (tRNA) molecules are approximately 80 nucleotides in length. Their secondary structure includes four short double-helical elements and three loops (D, anti-codon, and T loops).
Source: RNAcentral
GUCGGAGUGGCGAAACUGGCAGACGCGCUGGCCUUAGGAGCCAGUGGGGUAACACCCGUGAGAGUUCGACUCUCUCCUCCGACA